Molecule: unclassified non-coding RNA, 523 nt
Filed under: Hevea brasiliensis (rubber tree)
Lineage: Eukaryota; Viridiplantae; Streptophyta; Magnoliopsida; Malpighiales; Euphorbiaceae
Source: RNAcentral
UUAAGGAAGAAAAUAAAGAAAGCAUCUUUAGUUGUCCAUAAAGCUCAUAAAACUGCAAACAUACCUUGGCGAAGAGCAGUCUCAAGUGUACUAAGGCACGACCCCAUUAAGAAGGAGCUCAAAGCAUUUUAUUUUUACACUAUGUUUCGAAAAGUUUUUGGAGGCGAGGUACACAAAUUCAAGGGAGGUAAAACCAUUGACUAGACAGGUUGAUGCGAUGAAUCAAUGAUCUAAACAAAAAAUUAACGGGGUUCUUUAUUGAAUCAGAAAAGAACUUAGCCUUAAAAAUAUUGAGUUUAAUAUUAAUGGGUAAAACUUCCAAAAAUCUUUUUUUUGCGAAGUUUUGAUACCUUUAAAAAACAACCUUCAUUCGCCAAAUCCAAACACAAUGUUACACCUACCGGAUCCACUAACAAUUGACUCAAGAGAUAUGUGAAAGCAGCAAGGUAGACAGACCCACCGAGUAAACGACGAACCAGCAAGGAAGACUGACCGUCCAAUAGAUGGAAAUCAUCGGGGCCUG